RNAcentral lists this ribosomal RNA (504 nucleotides) under uncultured bacterium. Its description in RNAcentral is "bacterial SSU rRNA". It matches the Rfam family "Bacterial small subunit ribosomal RNA", at positions 30 to 526 of the family's 1533-position model. The record is from RNAcentral.
AUUGAACGCUGGCGGAAUGCUUUACACAUGCAAGUCGAACGGCAGCACGGGGGCAACCCUGGUGGCGAGUGGCGAACGGGUGAGUAAUACAUCGGAACGUGCCCAGUCGUGGGGGAUAACGUAGCGAAAGCUACGCUAAUACCGCAUACGAUCUACGGAUGAAAGCGGGGGAUCGCAAGACCUCGCGCGAUUGGAGCGGCCGAUGGCAGAUUAGGUAGUUGGUGGGGUAAAGGCUCACCAAGCCUUCGAUCUGUAGCUGGUCUGAGAGGACGACCAGCCACACUGGGACUGAGACACGGCCCAGACUCCUACGGGAGGCAGCAGUGGGGGAAUUUUGGACAAUGGGCGAAAGCCUGAUCCAGCCAUUCCGCGUGCAGGAUGAAGGCCCUCGGGUUGUAAACUGCUUUUGUACGGAACGAAACGGCCUUUUCUAAUACAGAGGGCUAAUGACGGUACCGUAAGAAUAAGCACCGGCUAACUACGUGCCAGCAGCCGCGGUAAAGU